UUGAAUUGAAGAGUUUGAUCAUGGCUCAGAUUGAACGCUGGCGGCAGGCUUAACACAUGCAAGUCGAACGGUAGCAGGAGAAAGCUUGCUUUCUUGCUGACGAGUGGCGGACGGGUGAGUAAUGCUUGGGAAUCUGGCUUAUGGAGGGGGAUAACUACGGGAAACUGUAGCUAAUACCGCGUAGUGUCGAGAGACGAAAGUGCGGGACCGCAAGGCCGCAUGCCAUGAGAUGAGCCCAAGUGGGAUUAGGUAGUUGGUGGGGUAAAGGCCUACCA
RNAcentral lists this ribosomal RNA (275 nucleotides) under Haemophilus haemolyticus. RNAcentral describes it as "partial 16S ribosomal RNA". It matches the Rfam family "Bacterial small subunit ribosomal RNA", at positions 1 to 270 of the family's 1533-position model. The record is from RNAcentral. Lineage: Bacteria; Pseudomonadati; Pseudomonadota; Gammaproteobacteria; Pasteurellales; Pasteurellaceae.